RNAcentral lists this small nuclear RNA (18 nucleotides) under Arabidopsis thaliana (thale cress). RNAcentral's name for it is "snRNA_00751". The record is from RNAcentral. Lineage: Eukaryota; Viridiplantae; Streptophyta; Magnoliopsida; Brassicales; Brassicaceae.
ACACUCUUUUACCUGGGU